UACAGAGGUCCCAAGCGUUGUUCGGAUUCACUGGGCGUAAAGGGUGCGUAGGCGGUCGGCAAGUCCGGGGUGAAAGCCCCCAGCUCAACUGGGGAAGGGCCUUGGAAACUGCCGGUCUUGAGGGAGGUAGGGGCCUGUGGAACUUCGGGUGGAGCGGUGAAAUGCGUUGAUAUCCGAAGGAACGCCGGUGGCGAAAGCGACGGGCUGGAUCUCUUCUGACGCUGAGGCGCGAAAGCUAGGGUAGCGAACGGG
Molecule: ribosomal RNA, 252 nt
Filed under: uncultured bacterium
Lineage: Bacteria
Description: partial 16S ribosomal RNA
Rfam family: Bacterial small subunit ribosomal RNA
Source: RNAcentral